Molecule: ribosomal RNA, 1151 nt
Filed under: Staphylococcus aureus
Lineage: Bacteria; Bacillati; Bacillota; Bacilli; Caryophanales; Staphylococcaceae
Description: partial 23S ribosomal RNA
Rfam family: Bacterial large subunit ribosomal RNA
Source: RNAcentral
CCGGAGGAAGAGAAAGAAAAUUCGAUUCCCUUAGUAGCGGCGAGCGAAACGGGAAGAGCCCAAACCAACAAGCUUGCUUGUUGGGGUUGUAGGACACUCUAUACGGAGUUACAAAGGACGACAUUAGACGAAUCAUCUGGAAAGAUGAAUCAAAGAAGGUAAUAAUCCUGUAGUCGAAAAUGUUGUCUCUCUUGAGUGGAUCCUGAGUACGACGGAGCACGUGAAAUUCCGUCGGAAUCUGGGAGGACCAUCUCCUAAGGCUAAAUACUCUCUAGUGACCGAUAGUGAACCAGUACCGUGAGGGAAAGGUGAAAAGCACCCCGGAAGGGGAGUGAAAUAGAACCUGAAACCGUGUGCUUACAAGUAGUCAGAGCCCGUUAAUGGGUGAUGGCGUGCCUUUUGUAGAAUGAACCGGCGAGUUACGAUUUGAUGCAAGGUUAAGCAGUAAAUGUGGAGCCGUAGCGAAAGCGAGUCUGAAUAGGGCGUUUAGUAUUUGGUCGUAGACCCGAAACCAGGUGAUCUACCCUUGGUCAGGUUGAAGUUCAGGUAACACUGAAUGGAGGACCGAACCGACUUACGUUGAAAAGUGAGCGGAUGAACUGAGGGUAGCGGAGAAAUUCCAAUCGAACCUGGAGAUAGCUGGUUCUCUCCGAAAUAGCUUUAGGGCUAGCCUCAAGUGAUGAUUAUUGGAGGUAGAGCACUGUUUGGACGAGGGGCCCCUCUCGGGUUACCGAAUUCAGACAAACUCCGAAUGCCAAUUAAUUUAACUUGGGAGUCAGAACAUGGGUGAUAAGGUCCGUGUUCGAAAGGGAAACAGCCCAGACCACCAGCUAAGGUCCCAAAAUAUAUGUUAAGUGGAAAAGGAUGUGGCGUUGCCCAGACAACUAGGAUGUUGGCUUAGAAGCAGCCAUCAUUUAAAGAGUGCGUAAUAGCUCACUAGUCGAGUGACACUGCGCCGAAAAUGUACCGGGGCUAAACAUAUUACCGAAGCUGUGGAUUGUCCUUUGGACAAUGGUAGGAGAGCGUUCUAAGGGCGUUGAAGCAUGAUCGUAAGGACAUGUGGAGCGCUUAGAAGUGAGAAUGCCGGUGUGAGUAGCGAAAGACGGGUGAGAAUCCCGUCCACCGAUUGACUAAGGUUUCCAGAGGAAGGC